AUUGACGUUAUUUACAUGCUGACUGACAAAAGUAACUCAACUCGUAACAAUACCAGUUUCGUAUAACUUCAUAGUUUAUUAAUAGCAUUGAACAUGCCGAAUUUCGUGCCCGGAAAUUACGAUUUGCGUGCAGCGUUAAUUUUCUGUUACCAUUCGAAAGAAAACUGCUGCGGAAUCGCAUCGGAUGCUUGUCGAAGCGCUCACGGUGAGCAUGGUCUUGGAAAAUCACAGUGCUUUAAGUGCUUUAAAAAUUCGAACGAGACGAUUUGGACGUGAAAAACAAAGAACGUGAAAAACGAAGAACGUGAAAGACCGACGAAAAAUGUUAAUUGGAGACAAUGCUCUGCAUCUGGUGGGAUCAGUAGGGUGUGAUCUAUUAUGAGCUACUCAAAACUGGCGAAACUGACUCGGCGCUACCAAGAACAAUUAGUGAUCGAUUCAAAUCAAGC
Non-coding RNA from Cinara cedri, 449 nucleotides. Lineage: Eukaryota; Metazoa; Arthropoda; Insecta; Hemiptera; Aphididae. The record is from the annotation of a GenBank genome assembly.